This 1439-nucleotide ribosomal RNA is filed under the name uncultured organism. RNAcentral describes it as "16S ribosomal RNA". It matches the Rfam family "Bacterial small subunit ribosomal RNA". The record is from RNAcentral.
CAGGCUUAACACAUGCAAGUCGAGGGGCAUCAGGAAGAAAGCUUGCUUUCUUUGCUGGCGACCGGCGCACGGGUGAGUAACACGUAUCCAACCUGCCCUUUACUCGGGGAUAGCCUUUCGAAAGAAAGAUUAAUACCCGAUAGCAUAAUGAUUCCGCAUGGUUUCAUUAUUAAAGGAUUCCGGUAAAGGAUGGGGAUGCGUUCCAUUAGGUUGUUGGUGAGGUAAUGGCCCACCAAGCCUUCGAUGGAUAGGGGUUCUGAGAGGAAGGUCCCCCACAUUGGAACUGAGACACGGUCCAAACUCCUACGGGAGGCAGCAGUGAGGAAUAUUGGUCAAUGGGCGCUAGCCUGAACCAGCCAAGUAGCGUGAAGGAUGAAGGCUCUAUGGGUCGUAAACUUCUUUUAUAUAAGAAUAAAGUGCAGUAUGUAUACUGUUUUGUAUGUAUUAUAUGAAUAAGGAUCGGCUAACUCCGUGCCAGCAGCCGCGGUAAUACGGAGGAUCCGAGCGUUAUCCGGAUUUAUUGGGUUUAAAGGGAGCGUAGGUGGACUGGUAAGUCAGUUGUGAAAGUUUGCGGCUCAACCGUAAAAUUGCAGUUGAUACUGUCAGUCUUGAGUACAGUAGAGGUGGGCGGAAUUCGUGGUGUAGCGGUGAAAUGCUUAGAUAUCACGAAGAACUCCGAUUGCGAAGGCAGCUCACUGGACUGCAACUGACACUGAUGCUCGAAAGUGUGGGUAUCAAACAGGAUUAGAUACCCUGGUAGUCCACACAGUAAACGAUGAAUACUCGCUGUUUGCGAUAUACAGUAAGCGGCCAAGCGAAAGCAUUAAGUAUUCCACCUGGGGAGUACGCCGGCAACGGUGAAACUCAAAGGAAUUGACGGGGGCCCGCACAAGCGGAGGAACAUGUGGUUUAAUUCGAUGAUACGCGAGGAACCUUACCCGGGCUUAAAUUGCAGUGGAAUGAUGUGGAAACAUGUCAGUGAGCAAUCACCGCUGUGAAGGUGCUGCAUGGUUGUCGUCAGCUCGUGCCGUGAGGUGUUGGCUUAAGUCCCAUAACGAGCGCAACCCUUACCGUUAGUUGCUAGCAUGUAAUGAUGAGCACUCUAACGGGACUGCCGUCGUAAGAUGUGAGGAAGGUGGGGAUGACGUCAAAUCAGCACGGCCCUUACGUCCGGGGCUACACACGUGUUACAAUGGGGGGUACAGAAGGCAGCUACCUGGUGACAGGAUGCUAAUCCCAAAAGCCUCUCUCAGUUCGGAUCGAAGUCUGCAACCCGACUUCGUGAAGCUGGAUUCGCUAGUAAUCGCGCAUCAGCCAUGGCGCGGUGAAUACGUUCCCGGGCCUUGUACACACCGCCCGUCAAGCCAUGAAAGCCGGGGGUACCUGAAGUACGUAACCGCAAGGAGCGUCCUAGGGUAAAACUGGUAACUGGGGCUAAG